This is a long non-coding RNA of Capsicum annuum, 609 nucleotides long. RefSeq lists it as uncharacterized. The record is from RefSeq and is a predicted model, not a curated record. The transcript has 2 exons. Lineage: Eukaryota; Viridiplantae; Streptophyta; Magnoliopsida; Solanales; Solanaceae.
CUCUCUAACCCUCCUCUCUCUCUAAGCAAAGGCGACCACAACCACAACGACGACGGCGUUGGUCGAGUGGUAACGGCGACGACGACAGCCUUGGUGGAGUCUUAACGACGACGACGGCAGCCUUGGUGGAGUCUUAACGGCGUCGGCGACCACAACAUUUCUAAGUUGAAAACUACCUCGAGGUGAUUUGAAGCAUAACGAAGGCCUAUAUGAAGAGUUUGAUCCUUCUGAACUUAGAUUGAAUGGUCAUGAUUAUGGAGAAGGAACAUCCAGGGCAAAUGACGAGGAAGAUCCAACUGAUGAAAAUGAAAUAAGCGAGGAAGAGUUACUUGAUGAAAAUGACACAAGUGAUGAGGAAGAAUCGAUGAAUGAAUAUGAAACAAGUGAUGAGGAAGAAUUGAUGAAUGACUAUGAAACAAGCGACGAGGAUUGAGUUGUUAUUAAUAGUAGUAAUGUGUUUUAACAAGGUAUUGAAUUGUAUUUUAGCUAUUGAUUUUUGAUAUUUUUCUUAACAAUAGUGUCUUUUCUUUGUUAACAUUUGUAGUGCCAGUAACUACGCAACAUGAUUUUCUUGUCUUGUUGCAUUUUCUUAUUACACUUCACUCAUCU